CUGGUUUCAUAUGGUGGUUUAGAUUUAACUACUGAGUGUCUAGCACCAUUUGAAAUCAGUGU
This 62-nucleotide microRNA precursor is filed under the name Ornithorhynchus anatinus (platypus). RNAcentral describes it as "Oan-Mir-29-P1b-v2_pre stem-loop". It matches the Rfam family "mir-29 microRNA precursor family", at positions 7 to 64 of the family's 70-position model. From Rfam's summary of the family: This family represents the microRNA (miRNA) precursors mir-29. Animal miRNAs are transcribed as ~70nt precursors and subsequently processed by the Dicer enzyme to give a ~22nt product. Lineage: Eukaryota; Metazoa; Chordata; Mammalia; Monotremata; Ornithorhynchidae. The record is from RNAcentral. RNAcentral also lists the same sequence under 2 other names.